RNAcentral lists this long non-coding RNA (931 nucleotides) under Heterocephalus glaber (naked mole-rat). Its description in RNAcentral is "lncRNA (ENSHGLG00000039253.1)". The record is from RNAcentral. Lineage: Eukaryota; Metazoa; Chordata; Mammalia; Rodentia; Bathyergidae.
CCUGGGACAGCAGGCCCGGCCCUGGUUUGGGGAUGUCCUUGUAAGUAUGAGGUCAUGGAGCGGGGGUAGUGUCCCCAGACAAGGUGUGCUAGGGAGGGGAAGGGAAGGGAAGGGAGGCCCUUGAAAGAUGAGGAGGAAGAAGGAAGAGGCCACCACAGGAGCACAACUUUGGGACCAGAGAGAGGCUCCUCCAGUUAGAGAACUGCCAGCUGACAGCACUUCCUGCCCUCCUAAGCACUGUCCACUGUCUGAAACCUCCUUUGCCCCCCGUAACCUCCUGCCUUCCUCGUGUUUCCUCACUUCUAUCAGGACUUCACAUAUACCAGGCUUCACCAGAGGAGAUGAGAGCAGUUACCUGCCUAGGGGAGCCGGCAGUUCUAGAAGAAACCAGCAGAUGGCGAUAGCGGCUCCCACGUCUCGGGUCCAUAGAAGCAGCUGGAUUCCCCCACUUGAUUUGCACUCUCUGGUUCUGGCUCCCUUGAGAGUUAGGGUGGGGAGAGUUCGGACAUCACCCGAGGCAGAAGGAGCUGCCAAACAUAACUUGGAAUGGAUAAUUAUUGUAAAAUAUUUGUUAAUUAACUCUGUGCUAAAACCCUGUUUGAAACUUGUUUGAAACUUGUCCCUGUUUGAAAACUCUGGGUGGGCCUUCUCCCUCUUGUGGGGCACCCUGCUCCCAGAGAGAUUAGAAACUAGCCUUAAAGUAUGUUUAUCUAAGUAUCCCAUACCUAAUGCUGCUGUACCACACCCUUGCUACAUCCCCUAUGAUCGAAACUCGAGCUACCCUCGCCACCUAAUGUUGCUUUUUCAAGCGCUCGCCACAUUCUGCUGUGUAACUGCAACUUAAACUACCCUGUAAAAGGUAUAAAAAGGAGAAACUGCCUUAAAUCGUGGUCAGCCUAGAAGGACUCGUUUCCUGAGGCUGUCCAUUGCC